GACGAACGCUGGCGGCGUGCCUAAUACAUGCAAGUAGAACGCUGAAGGAGGAGCUUGCUUCUCUGGAUGAGUUGCGAACGGGUGAGUAACGCGUUGGUAACCUGCCUGGUAGCGGGGGAUAACUAUUGGAAACGAUAGCUAAUACCGCAUAAGAGUAGAUGUUGCAUGACAUUUGCUUAAAAGGUGCACUUGCAUCACUACCAGAUGGACCUGCGUUGUAUUAGCUAGUUGGUGGGGUAACGGCUUCACAAGGCGACGAUACAUCGCCGACCUGAGAGGGGGAACGGCCACACUGGGACUGAGGCACGGCCCAGACUCCUACGGGAGGCAGCAGUAGGGAAUCUUCGGCAAUGGAAGGAAGUCUGACCGAGCAACGCCGCGUGAGUGAAGAAGGUUUUCGGAUCGUAAAGCUCUGUUGUAAGAGAAGAACGAGUGUGAGAGUGGAAAGUUCACACUGUGACGGUAUCUUACCAGAAAGGGACGGCUAACUACGUG
This 495-nucleotide ribosomal RNA is filed under the name uncultured bacterium. RNAcentral describes it as "partial 16S ribosomal RNA". It matches the Rfam family "Bacterial small subunit ribosomal RNA", at positions 28 to 507 of the family's 1533-position model. The record is from RNAcentral.